RNA transcript from Vitis riparia (riverbank grape), 3222 nucleotides. It is a transcript of the gene named putative pentatricopeptide repeat-containing protein At5g52630, with no coding region annotated. The record is from RefSeq and is a predicted model, not a curated record. The transcript is spliced from 3 exons. NCBI's taxonomy places the organism in Eukaryota, Viridiplantae, Streptophyta, Magnoliopsida, Vitales, Vitaceae.
UUUGGAUUUUUGGUAGCAAAGAAAGUGAGAGGUAACAAAGUAAUCGAAAUGUGUUUUUAUUUUAUUUUUUCUCCAUUUUCUUGGUAAUUAACAGAGGUUCGGAUUUCACUCGAGUGUUUGAUUAGUUGGGAAUGCUAUUGCUGGAAGUUUUGAAUUCUAGGGAUUCUCUUUGAAAAGCGGUGGAGCUAUAUUCAGUUUGGGAGAAAAAGUUUGCCACUUUACUGGGAAUUUUUAUCUUUUUUCCUAGAAAUAAUAUGGAAAUGAAAAUGUUGUUCUCUUUUAUUGCUCUAUUUUCUUGGACACCAAACAGAGGACUAAAACUAUUGUUAUCUGAGAAUAAAUUUAUAAUAAUGAUAAAAAGGAAGAUAAAAAAAAGUUUAAGUGCAAACUUGAAAUGUUGUUCUGCAUAGAAUUUUCAUUCUCAUUUAUUUUUAUGAAUGUUAGAGACAAGUGAUAGCACCAUUGUGGAUCAUUUUUAAAGCACCAUUUUGGAUCAUGUUUAAAUUAUUAAAUGAUAUUUUCUAUUAUGGUGGAACAAUAUCAAUAAGUUUAUUUCUAUUUUCUUAGAUUUAGGUUUGCUUUUCACAUGUGGCAAGUGUAAUGCCAUGAGAGGAGUUGGGAAAAAAGGAUAUGGAAUUAUAAAAUUCUGAUUGAAUGUUUUUAUUGGUGUAGGAAAGAUCUUUGUUUAACUCUAAACAAAAUUCUGAUUGAAUGAAUUUUGGUGACCAAACACCAGCAAUAUGUGAAAUGGAGUGACGGAGGAUAGAAGGGUUACUGGAAUUUUGUGGGGGAGCUGUAACAUGAGAGAGUUAUACACAGCCACAACCACAUCCACACCUAACAGUAACCCUCGCCUAAUCCAUGCGCAAGCCAUCAAAAGCGCCAUCACCGACCGCUCCUUUUACAACUCUCUCAUCACUCUCUAUUCUAAAUCCAACCUCUUAUCUAAAGCUGUUCGUAUCUUCCACCACCACAUCCCUUCCCCCAAUGUUGUCUCAUGGACUGCCCUCAUCUCUGCCUACGCCUCAACCUCAUUCGCUCUUCUUCACUUCAUUUCCAUGCUCCGCCACCCCACUCUUCCCAACCAGCGCACCUUGGCCUCCCUUCUCAAGACUUGCGCCUCCCUCCCUUCUCUCUCCUUUGGCCUCCAACUCCACUCUCUAUCCCUCAAGCUCUCCCUCUCUGCCCAACCAUUCGUCGGCUCCGCGCUUGUCAACUUUUACUCCAAAUGUCGGUUGCCGCUUGAGGCUUGCAGGGUGUUUGAUGAAAUUACACAGAGAGAUGAGGUUUGUUUCGCAGCGAUGAUUGUUGGCCUUGCCCAGAAUGCACGGCCUGUGGAUGCGCUUCUGGUGUUUGGUGAAAUGAAGGCUUGCAAUGUGGGGUCUACGAUGUACAGUGUGUCUGGGGCGUUACGGGCUGCAUCAGAGCUGGCGGCGUUGGAGCAAUGUAGGAUAAUCCAUGGCCAUGCUGUCUCUACUGGAUUUGAUUCGAAUUUGAUUGUAGGGACUGCUUUGGUUGAUGGGUAUGGGAAGGCGGGGCUUGUCUUAGAUGCGAGGCGGAUUUUUGAUGAACUGUUGCCAAGUUUGAAUGAGGUGGCCUGGAACGCAAUGAUGGCGGGUUAUGCACAGCAGGGGGAUCAGAGGUCGGUGGUUGAGCUCUUUAAUUCCAUGGAAGCUCGAGGGCUUGUACCGGAUGAAUAUAGCUUUUUGGCAAUCCUAACAUCAUUGUAUAAUGCAGGCUUGGUCGGUGAGGCUGAGUGGUGGUUGACCAGGAUGAAGGUUGAUUAUGGGCUGGAACCAGGGUUAGAACAUUAUACGUGUUUGGUGGGAGCAAUGGGCCGAGCAGGGCAAUUGGAGGAUGCAGAGAGGAUUGCUAUGACAAUGCCAUUUGAGCCAGAUGCUGCGGUGUGGCGAGCAUUACUGUCCAGUUGUGCAAUGCAUGGUGCAGCGGACAUGGCUUGGGCUAUGGGAAGACGUCUAAUGGAACUUGACCCACAGGAUGACUCUGCUUAUGUGAUUGUUGCAAAUGUUUUGGCCACCAAUGAGAGGUGGGAUGAAGUAGCUGAAGUGAGGAAAAUGAUGAAAGAUAGGAUGGUGAAGAAGGAGGGUGGGAGGAGUUGGAUUGAAGUGCGAGGAAAGGUUCACGUGUUUUUAGCGGGGGACAGAAGGCAUGAGAGGAGCCAUGAAAUCUAUGCAAAGUUAGUAGAGCUGAUGGAGAAGAUUGAGGAAUUGGGUUACAGUCCAGUCUUGAAAGAGAUGUUGCAUGAAGUAGAAGAGGGUGUGAAAAAGGAAACCCUUUGGUACCACAGUGAGAAGUUGGCAGUGGCAUUUGGGGUGGUGAGUGAUGCAGCACCGCCUGGAAAGGCGUUACGGAUUGUGAAGAACUUGAGGAUUUGUAAAGAUUGUCAUGAAGCUUUUAAGUAUAUUAGUUGUGUGGUGGAGAGGGAGAUUAUAGUGAGGGAUGUCAACAGAUACCAUAGAUUUUUGAAUGGUACUUGUACUUGUGGAGAUUAUUGGUAACCCAUGUGAACCUGAAAAAUGCCAGACUAUCAAUUUUGAUUGUAAACUCAUUUUAGAUCUUAGGCAGUGUAACUUAACUCUGAGCAGAUUCAGUUCUAUAGUUGGCCAAACUCUGAAUUCCAUUUUGUUGGGUUGAUUCAAACUUCAGAGGGGAUGCAUUUGGUGCUACAUCAAAGGAUGAUCUUUUGUAUCCUCAAUUAGUGGAACACUUAGAAGUUUGUGUUUUUUCACAUAGAAAGCCUGCAGAAGGUAUGAACCUCAAAUCAUGCCCACUGGUUUUUGCUUAGUUAAUCCCAACCUACUUGGACCUCAUCAAACAAACUGCCUUGCUACAAAGAAAUUGAUAGGGGUGCUAUUAGAGGUUCUGCUUAUUAAUCAUACUUUUUUCUUUUAAUGAUUUUUUUCUCAGUCCAUUUUUGUCCUAUUAAUGCUUUAUUUGAUGGUAGUUAUUUUUCAACCAUUCAGACUCUUAAUAAGGGAAUUUUUUGAAGCUCAUAGUAAGGGUGGUCAACAUUUCGAACAUUGAACCUUUUGAAAUCCUUCUCCCACUUGUACAAUUUUUUAUUUUUUUGGUUGAAGUUAUUGCUUCCUAAGGAAAUAAAUGAAUACGUAUUUGUUUGUUAUUUGUUAUGUCAAUUGUAUAAACUGCCAUAAUGGUUGGUAUUUUAUUGUUCAAGGUGGUUAAAUUUUAUGUUAUUCUCUC